RNAcentral lists this ribosomal RNA (516 nucleotides) under Triticum aestivum (bread wheat). Its description in RNAcentral is "partial small subunit ribosomal RNA". The record is from RNAcentral. Lineage: Eukaryota; Viridiplantae; Streptophyta; Magnoliopsida; Poales; Poaceae.
AUGUUUUCUAACGGUACAUUUUGCAGAUAUAUUAGCGCCAUUGAAAGAAAUCCAGAAGACCCUGAUGCAUAUUAUAACUGGGCCCUAGUUCUCCAGGAAAGUGCUGACAACGUCGAUCCUAAUUCUGAUUCUUCAAAAGAUUCAUUACUUGAGGAGGCUUGCAAGAAGUAUGCUGAAGCUACUCGACUUUGCCCAACACUGUAUGAUGCAUAUUACAACUGGGCUAUUGCUAUAGCUGAUCGGGCCAAAAUGCGUGGGCGUACCAAAGAGGCUGAAGAACUCUGGCAGCAGGCUAUAAGGAACUACGACAAGGCAGUCCAAUUAAGUUGGAACAGCCCCCAGGCUCUCAACAACUGGGGCCUUGGACUACAGGAAUUGAGUGCGAUUGUUCCUGCUAAAGACAAGCAAACAAUCAUAAAAACAGCUAUAAGUAAGUUUCGUUCUGCCAUCCAGUUGCAGUUUGACUUCCACCGGGCUAUUUAUAACCUUGGAACUGUCCUGUUUAUGCUGCAGUAG